AUAUCAAUAAGCGGAGGAAAAGAAACUAACAAGGAUUCCCCUAGUAGCGGCGAGCGAAGCGGGAAAAGCUCAAAUUUGUAAUCUGGCGCUUUCGGCGUCCGAGUUGUAAUCUCGAGAAGUGUUUUCCGCGUCAGACCGCACACAAGUCUCCUGGAACGGAGCGUCACAGUGGUGAGAACCCAGUACACGGUGCGGAUGCCUGAUGCUUUGUGAUACACUUUCGAAGAGUCGAGUUGUUUGGGAAUGCAGCUCAAAUUGGGUGGUAAAUUCCAUCUAAAGCUAAAUAUUGGCGAGAGACCGAUAGCGAACAAGUACCGUGAGGGAAAGAUGAAAAGCACUUUGGAAAGAGAGUUAACAGUACGUGAAAUUGUUGGAAGGGAAACGCUUGAAGUCAGACUUGCUAUUCGGAGCUUGCUUCGAUUCGCAGGCCCGCAUCAGUUUUCCGGGGCGGAAAAUCGUAAGGAGAAGGUAGCAGUUUCGGCUGUGUUAUAGCUCUUUACUGGAUUCGUCCUGGGGGACUGAGGAACGCAGCGUGCUUUUUGCAUGGGCUUCGGCCCAUCCACGCUAGGAUGCGGGGAC
This 579-nucleotide ribosomal RNA is filed under the name Sporobolomyces salmonicolor. Its description in RNAcentral is "LSU rRNA". It matches the Rfam family "Eukaryotic large subunit ribosomal RNA", at positions 40 to 632 of the family's 3401-position model. Lineage: Eukaryota; Fungi; Basidiomycota; Microbotryomycetes; Sporidiobolales; Sporidiobolaceae. The record is from RNAcentral.